GAUGAACGCUGGCGGCGUGCUUAAUACAUGCAAGUCGAACGGACAGGCCCGGCUCUUGCGGUGUGCUCGUGUGGCGAGCGGGUGAGUAACACGCGUGUAACCUGCCCCUGUCUUUGGGAUAACUUCUGGAGACUGGGGCUCAUAUCGCAUAGGAGCUUCUGAUGCGUGGGGGGGGAUGGAAAGUUACGGCGGUGGGGGAUGGACUGGCGGGUUAUCAGCUUGUUGGUGGGGUAGGGAAGUACAAAGGCUGUGAAGGGUAGCCGGCAUGAGAGGUUGGCCGGCCACCAGAGGCCUGCGAGACGGCCCAGUCGCCUACGUUAGGCAGCAGUGGGGAGUAUGGCGCAGUGGGCGGAAGCCUGAUGCAGCGACCCCGCGUGCGGGAUGACCGCCUUCGGGUUGUAAACCGCUUUCUCCGGUGACGAACAGUUAGUGACGGUAAUUGGUAAAGAAGCACCGGCUAACUACGUG
RNAcentral lists this ribosomal RNA (468 nucleotides) under uncultured bacterium. RNAcentral's name for it is "partial 16S ribosomal RNA". It matches the Rfam family "Bacterial small subunit ribosomal RNA", at positions 28 to 507 of the family's 1533-position model. The record is from RNAcentral.